UACGUAGGGUGCAAGCGUUAAUCGGAAUUACUGGGCGUAAAGCGCACGUAGGCGGCUUGGUAUGUCGGGUGUGAAAUCCCCGGGCUCAACCUGGGAACUGCAUCCGAAACUGCCUUGCUCGAGUAUGGGAGAGGGAAGUGGAAUUUCCGGUGUAGCGGUGAAAUGCGUAGAUAUCGGAAGGAACAUCAGUGGCGAAGGCGACUUCCUGGACCAAUACUGACGCUCAGGUGCGAAAGCGUGGGGAGCAAACGGG
Molecule: ribosomal RNA, 253 nt
Filed under: uncultured bacterium
Lineage: Bacteria
Description: partial 16S ribosomal RNA
Rfam family: Bacterial small subunit ribosomal RNA
Source: RNAcentral